GGUUCCUUUUUCUCCACACCCUCUCCAGCAUUUAUUGCACAACCAGAAAUUAAUUCCACAAAUUUUUCUUGCGUGCUUACCAUGUGCUGGGCACUGUUACUGACCAGAGAUGAGCAAAACAGCCGCAGAUUUCCUGCUCUCAGAGUCUGCAUUCUGCUGGGAGGGAGACGGUCAAUGGACAAUUUACCUGAGUAAAACAUAUAGAAUGUCAGAUGAUAAUGUAUGCCUUGGGGAGAAAUUAAGCAAGAAAGGAGCUUGCUGUUGUAAGUACAGCUGUCAGGAGGUUCCUCACUGACAGAUGAGUUUCAGGCACAGACACAAAAAAUGAGAGUUGCCAUGGCAAUGUUGAGAAAGAGCCUCUCAGACAGAGAACAGCCAGUGCAAAAGCCUAACAAUGCCAGUGGUUUGAGGGAAUUGAUGGAAGUCAUUAAACCUGAGACAGUGAGGCAGAAAGUAAUAAGGGAGGUGAGAAGCCAGUACCCAGUGAGGCCAGUACCCAGCAGUUUUAAUAAAACAUAGUGGUAGAGGGGAGAAGCCGGCUGGAUGGCGGGUGCGGAAGUGGGGUCAGAAUCCGGUAGGAACCUGAAACGUCUUGAAGUUGUCUGAAGAUUAUUCAGUCACUAUGUCAAGCGACAGAGAUGUUUCUCUUUCUUCAUUUGAUGAAGAUCAGGGGUCUAAACUUAUCCAAAAAGCUAGAGAGGCACCAUUUGUCCCCAUUGGAAUGGCAGGUUUUGCAGCAGUUGUUGCAUAUGGAUUAUAUAGAUUGAAGAGCAAGGGAAAUACUAAAAUGUCUGUUCACCUGAUCCACAUGCGUGUGGCAGCCCAAGGCUUUGUUGUGGGAGCAAUGACUCUUGGUAUGGGCUAUUCCCUGUAUCAAGAGUUCUGGGGAAAACCUAAACCUUAGAAGAGGAGAUGCUGUCUUGGUCUUGGUGGUGGUGCUUGCUUUAGUUAGACAUCUCACAUUGAGGUUAUAUGUUUAUGCGGAAAAUAAGUUGUUUGGGUCAGACAAGAACAUGGUAAUUUGAACAUUGGCUUCCUUUCUUGCAGGCCUGAUUUGCCUGGUGACCAAGUGACUGCUGACUAGUUCACUAGCUAGGUCAUUCAGGAGAGUCAGAUCCGCACCGAAGAAACACGUCGCUUUUAAAUACACUUGAUAACGGUACCUGUCCACCUUCUGAAACCCUUCUGUUGAAAUUAGUUCUAAAGAAGACAACAUGCCAGUCCUGAAAAUGCUCCCAGUUGCUGCGGAAUAUCAUAUGCUUUUGAUGUAAUAUAGGAAUCCUAUUUACCCCCGUUAAUUUAACUUUCUGACUGUCUUGUGGACUGAGUACCGUUUUAAGGGCUGGUUGGCUCUUGAGAAACCCUUCAGAACAGUGCAUGGAAUACAGCAUUAUAAACCUCCCUGCAAGUCUGUGUGUGUUUUUAAACCAAACCUAAAAAGCUGGUAACAGAGCCACUUUGAAGUAGUAUUUAUUUUAGAAGCAUAGUUAUAAACAUGAGAGUAACUUAAAUUGUAGAUCCCUUUUAGCUCUUUUGUAAUUGCAGAAUUAUAUUUUGCUGCUGUUAGAAUAAUUUUAAAUUAUUUUCAAACAUGUAUUUUAAGUGCUAAUGCAAAGGUAAAUGAAAAACACUUUUUAAAUGUGUGCAGUAUGUUUAUUUUCUCCAAAAGAAUCAUCAACUAAAUAAAAUGCCUAUAAUGGAAGUCAUUGAUGAGCAAGCUGGCUUGGUCAGACAUAAUACAAACUUUGGCAUAUCACAGAAUGCUUUGUUGUACUUGUGAAAUUCUCUAGUCUAACCUGAAUUUACAUUCCAUGGUGAUAACAUGGUAAAUGUAGUGUUAUUAAAGUAAAUGAACACAU
Non-coding RNA from Odocoileus virginianus texanus, 1859 nucleotides. Lineage: Eukaryota; Metazoa; Chordata; Mammalia; Artiodactyla; Cervidae. The record is from RefSeq and is a predicted model, not a curated record.